GCUCUGGACAACAGAACUUGAACACCAUCACCUAUGAAAUGUUAAAAUACAUAUCAAAAUCACCAUGCAGACACCAGAGUCCUGAGACUGUCAGAGAAUUUCUCACAGCAAUGAAAAGCCACAAGUUGACCAACAGGCACACGGGUGGUACCAUCAGUGAACUAAAUGCACUUCUCCCACUCCUUCUCCAAGAGAACUCUGAAGACAAAACAAAUUCCAUGU
Chlorocebus sabaeus (green monkey) is the source of this 222-nucleotide non-coding RNA. The record is from RefSeq and is a predicted model, not a curated record. Lineage: Eukaryota; Metazoa; Chordata; Mammalia; Primates; Cercopithecidae.